AUGACAUCUAUGUAAAUUUAUAAUUUCGAUUGUGAGAGCGUUCUGGACGCACCUCUGGUGUACCACUUAUCGUGCCCACGGUAAACGCUGGGUAGUCAAGUGCGGAGCGGAUAACUGCUGAAAACAUUUAAGUAGCAAGCCCACUCCAAAAAGAGUGCUCUCCUGUUCCGAUUUCCUCGGAGUCUCCGGUAGCACAGCUAAGACAACGACGGGUUCUCUGCCCCUACGGGGAUGGAGCGACAGAAGUUUUGAAAAAUCAAGAGAAGGUCACGACGAGACGAGCCGUUUAUCAUUAUGAUAGGUGUCAAGUGGAAGUGCAGUGAUGUAUGCAGCUAAGGCAUCCUAACAGACCGG
This 354-nucleotide non-coding RNA is filed under the name Daucus carota subsp. sativus. RNAcentral describes it as "Bacterial large subunit ribosomal RNA". It matches the Rfam family "Bacterial large subunit ribosomal RNA", at positions 2655 to 2912 of the family's 2925-position model. Lineage: Eukaryota; Viridiplantae; Streptophyta; Magnoliopsida; Apiales; Apiaceae. The record is from Rfam by way of RNAcentral.